AAAAACCUAAAUCCACGCGGACGAAGUCGCGGGCAUCCUCUAGUAAAAUAGGUAAGUAUUGUUACAAAGAGAAUAUUAUCUUUUACCUAGUUUGUUGUAAAAUCAUUAAGGUCAUCUUGAUAAACAAUUAACAAGUAUUGAUUUCGUAACGGUUUUAUUAGCAACCAAUACGCCAUCGAUUUCACCAUAAUCAGUUCAGUUAGGCUCAAAGCAGAUUAGCACACAGUCAAAGCGCAACAACGCGUACUUCCUUAGAACAUAUCAAUGUUCCUCGAGGUGUUUAUAUGAAACAGUCACUAAAAUUAAUUCGACACAAUUUAAACCAAGAGAUAUCCACGCGCGUAAGCAUGCUAACCCGUACAUAACCCGACCGAGAUUGACUAACGUCCAAAAUUAAAAUCAAUCUAUAUGUAAUCUGUCGAUAAGUUACUUAGCAACUUUGUUAUUUGUCGAAAAUUGUACAGCCGUUUUUGACAAAUAACAACGUUGUUAAGUAACUUAACCACAAGUUAAAGAUAGAUUGAGUAUUAAUUUUGCCGUAAGACAGUGCGGUUUUCUUACAGGCUAAUAACAUGAGUUUCGUGUUGUGUCAGUAGCAGCUAUAGUCUCUAAGUAUGCUGAACUUCAUCUCGACACAGUAUGUAAAAAAACAAAAAUAGCGCCGCUUACAGUUGGUUUUGCAGCUCAUUUGAAUAUGGAAUACCUUGGCUAGUUCGGUUUUCAUAUUAUCGUUUUUACACUAGCCAUCACCGCUCACCGAGCGGUGAAGUGCUAGGAUUAAACAUUGGAAAAAAAAUAGUGUUGUUGCUCUUCGAUUUUCACCAAUGGGCUUUGAGCUUUAAAAAUUAAAUUCACUGACCGUCGCCUGUGAUGUGGUAAAAAUAGUAGUAACUCUCGAUAUUUGCACGAUAGUUCAAAAUAAUGUAAAGU
Maniola jurtina (meadow brown) is the source of this 930-nucleotide long non-coding RNA. RefSeq lists it as uncharacterized. NCBI's taxonomy places the organism in Eukaryota, Metazoa, Arthropoda, Insecta, Lepidoptera, Nymphalidae. The transcript has 2 exons. The record is from RefSeq and is a predicted model, not a curated record.